Molecule: long non-coding RNA, 1639 nt
Organism: Piliocolobus tephrosceles (Ugandan red Colobus)
Lineage: Eukaryota; Metazoa; Chordata; Mammalia; Primates; Cercopithecidae
Exons: 6
Source: RefSeq, a predicted model, not a curated record
UUGUCCAGUACAGCUCCUCACAGCGCUACUGAGGCUGGGGGUUAGGAGUGAAGGAGUGAAGAAACAAAAAAGCUGUUUGUUUGAAAUGAUUGUGUUCCCAGCGGUAAAAACAGUGCUGGUAACUGAGAAGGCCUUUCUGUGAUCACAAAUAGUUCCCAGGGCCACCGCCUCUUUUCCUAGAGCUGGGGAUGGUGUUAACAAGAAGGUAAGAUGGGAACACAACCCAUUAACAGGAGCUGAGAAGGCUGUGGUCUGAAACACCCUGGAGCAGAAAGAAGGCGCAGGCAAGAGUGAGCCCAGGAAGACAGCAAGAUGGAGAAACUGAGACAUGCUUGGAGGACUGACCUGCAACAGGGUCACGCGGCGGGUGAGCAGGAACAGAAGGCAAAUUUCCUGGUCCUGGGGCCAGUUUUCCACCCAAUCUACCCCGUCUAAAUGAAACGGCAGAAGCUUAGUUUUGAUAAGCAGUUCCAUGAAAACAUGUCCUGUGCCAGAUUCUCUCUGGUGCCCGAGACACUCCCCGAUGGAGGGUUAGGGCUCGGAGCCCUUUAACUCCUUCGGCACAGUAGAGAAAGGUUUAGGAAAUAGCAGAACAAACGCAAAGGCCUUGAGAAGGUCCUUCCAAGACUCAGCCCAGGACUCUUCUCUCUGUCCUAUCUUCAGCCCUAAAGCAAAGGGCUGAAGAUGUAAGAAGGCUUUUACCUGGGUCCUUCGAAACAUGCCUAGUGCCUUCAUUAACUCCUCUACUUCAGAUAUCAACCGCAAAUGUCCUCUCUCACAGUGGGCAGACUGGCUGCACUAUACGAAAACGACACAUGUGAAAUGGAGGGCACCAUAGAGGCACGCUCCAUAUCCCUGAUCCUCACGCCAGCAGCAAAACAGGUUACACGGCUCCUGCUGGGUGGCAGAAGACGUGGAGGUGAGACGCACUGCUGCGCCUACAUAGCACAGCUCCCAUGCAGCCUGGAGAGCCUGUCCACUUCAAAGAGUGCCAAAACAGUACUGCAUUCCUUAAAGAGCUGAAUAAAGGAUCGAGUUAGACUGGCCUUCUCAACACCUCACGAAAAGCCCCCUUGGGUCUCAUUUUGCUGGGAUGACUAUUUAUAUGACAGGCCACAGAUGUAACUGAGCUACGUGUCUGUGUUUCGAGUGCAGAGCUGAGUGGAAGUCGGCCCUGUGACUGUCAUAUCAACACGUUUUAGUGAACAACAGACGCGGCCAGGCUGGUACCAAAACUGCUGAAGAGAGUCACCUUUCCCAAGUCCUGCCUCGGCUGGCUGAAGGCCACCAAAGGGACAGUGUGGUCCAAUUCUGAGUUUAGUCUUCUGAGGGCAUGUCCCACCCAACAGCUCUCAGGCCAGGAGCCAUAGUGAGCACGCCUCACUAAAAGCGGGGAAUGGACGCCAAACUGAAAAAGAGCAAAGUGAAUCCGACACACUCCCUCUGCGUACAGCCCAUCCCUGGCUUAGAUGUAAAUAUACAUGCUGGCAAUUGUGUUUGGUAUAUAUAAGUAAAAGUUUUGUUUUCUAAAUAAUGAUUUCUAAUCCUUUGGAAAUGUGUGACUUCAGGCAAAUCACUUCUCCAGGUCCCAGUCUCCUCAUCUGUAAAAUGGCGAUAAUACUACGUAGUGCCACAGAGA